RNAcentral lists this long non-coding RNA (470 nucleotides) under Rattus norvegicus (Norway rat). RNAcentral's name for it is "long non-coding RNA NONRATT005016". Lineage: Eukaryota; Metazoa; Chordata; Mammalia; Rodentia; Muridae. The record is from RNAcentral.
CCUUUUUUUUUUUUUUUUUUUUGCAAGACCAUGGAGUUGAAACCCAAGCCCCUAAUUUUAGUGUCUUGCUCUGGAGUUCCACUGAGGAAAAGUCCUGGAAACCACAAAAGGAAAACUCAGGGCCCGUGGUACUCAUUAAGACCAUUUUUCCACUUGACUGCACUGUUUAUUCAAGUACUGUCAGUUUCUAUCUUAGAUGACCGUUCCCUUAAUUACCAGAAAAGGUGUUUCGACUGCAUUCUCCCCAACCCCCAGAGCCACAUAACAGUGCUUGGUACAUGGGGGGAUCUUGCCAUAGAAGCUGGCAUGUUCUUGUAGCUAGACACUCAUCAGUAUGGUUUGCAAAAACAAUCCGAUCACCGGAGGCUGAAAACUCAAUCCUAAGGUAAAAAUGUCCUUCGGUAAAAGCAGCCGGCAUAGUGUCUAGCUGUGCAAACAACCAGCUUCCAGGUGAAGAACUUUGUAAUGGU